GGAGGAGGCAAGCGUUGUCCGGAAUCAUUGGGCGUAAAGAGCGCGUAGGCUGUUUUUCAAGUCAUAUGUGAAAACCUCAGGCUUAACUUGAGGACUGCAUAUGAAACUGAAAAACUUGAGUGCAGUAGGGGAAAGUGGAAUUCCUGGUGUAGCGGUGAAAUGCGCAGAUAUCAGGAAGAACACCGGUAGCGAAGGCGGCUUUCUGGGCUGCUACUGACGCUGAGGCGCGAAAGCUAGGGGGGAGCAAACAGGAUUAGAUACCCUGGUAGUCCUAGCAGUAAACGAUGGACACUAGGUGUGGGGAGUUAUCGACGCUUUCCGUGCCGGAGCUAACGCAUUAAGUGUCCCCGCCUGGGAGUACGGUCGCAAGCUA
RNAcentral lists this ribosomal RNA (373 nucleotides) under uncultured organism. RNAcentral's name for it is "partial 16S ribosomal RNA". It matches the Rfam family "Bacterial small subunit ribosomal RNA", at positions 527 to 896 of the family's 1533-position model. The record is from RNAcentral.